CCUACGGGUGGCAGCAGUGAGGAAUAUUGGUCAAUGGACGCAAGCCUGAACCAGCCAAGUCGCGUGCAGGAAGACGGCCCUAUGAGUUGUAAACCGCUUUUGUCCGAGGGCAAAAGCAGACACGCGUAUCUGUCUGAGAGUACCGUACGAAUAAGCAUAGGCUAACUCCGUGCCAGCAGCCGCGGUAAUACGGAGGAUGCAAGCGUUAUCCGGAUUUAUUGGGUUUAAAGGGUGCGUAGGCGGUCGGAUAAGUUAGAGGUGAAAUCCCGAGGCUCAACUUCGGAAUUGCCUCUGAUACUGUUCGGCUAGAGAGUAGUUGCGGUAGGCGGAAUGUAUGGUGUAGCGGUGAAAUGCUGAGAGACCAUACAGAACACCGAUUGCGAAGGCAGCUUACCAAGCUACUUCUGACGUUGAGGCACGAAAGCGUGGGGAGCAAACAGGAUUAGAUACCCCGGUAGUC
This 460-nucleotide ribosomal RNA is filed under the name uncultured bacterium. Its description in RNAcentral is "partial 16S ribosomal RNA". It matches the Rfam family "Bacterial small subunit ribosomal RNA", at positions 338 to 795 of the family's 1533-position model. The record is from RNAcentral.